RNAcentral lists this ribosomal RNA (253 nucleotides) under uncultured bacterium. RNAcentral describes it as "partial 16S ribosomal RNA". It matches the Rfam family "Bacterial small subunit ribosomal RNA", at positions 524 to 776 of the family's 1533-position model. The record is from RNAcentral.
UACGGGGGGGGCAAGCGUUGUUCGGAAUUACUGGGCGUAAAGGGCUCGUAGGCGGCCAACUAAGUCAGACGUGAAAUCCCUCGGCUUAACCGGGGAACUGCGUCUGAUACUGGAUGGCUUGAGUUUGGGAGAGGGAUGCGGAAUUCCAGGUGUAGCGGUGAAAUGCGUAGAUAUCUGGAGGAAGACCAGUGGCGAAGGCGGGUCUCUGGACAGUUCCUGACGCUGAGGCACGAAGGUCAGGGGAGCAAACGGG